Balaenoptera acutorostrata (minke whale) is the source of this 624-nucleotide long non-coding RNA. RefSeq lists it as uncharacterized. Lineage: Eukaryota; Metazoa; Chordata; Mammalia; Artiodactyla; Balaenopteridae. The transcript has 5 exons. The record is from RefSeq and is a predicted model, not a curated record.
AGGGCGCCGGGCUUCCGCGCAUGCGCGCGGAGGAGGUGGGAAAGGAUGGGAAGCCUAGAGGGUCAAACUAGGCGAAGGACGUUCGCUUAUACAAGAGAGCGAGUUGCGGCUUGAAUGAGGCUUUCGCACGUGUCUGAUUUCCCCUCUCCCACGGUUCUCUAAAAGAAGGCUCCCAGGAGAACGAGCACGCCACCUACUCUUUCAAACUGAGUCAUGAAAAUAGAACCAGAGAGCAAGGGCAUGAGGAAGGAGCACUGACUUGCGAAUCUAUACUUAGAAGACGAUAAACGCUUUGCUUUCAAAGAAUUACAUUACCGUACCGUAUGCCUCCGUCUCGUAAUUGGAGAAGUCAUGUAUCAGCCUAUCAUCCUAGAUUACAAAGAGUUCUACUGAUUCACUUAUAGUGUUCCGCUGUCCCCAGGCUAUAGGUUCCCUGAAGGCCAUUGAGUUUGUCCACUACUGUUUCCCAGCACCUGGAACUGUGCCUGCCAUAUAAUACUCACUCAAGUGUUUGGUCUGAUGGAAUCCUAAUCCACCUCAAGAUGCUGAGCGAGGGCUUCCCUGGUGGCGCAGUGGUUGAGAAUCUGCCUGCCAAUGCAGGGGACACGGGUUCGAGCCCUGGUC